Parus major (Great Tit) is the source of this 2200-nucleotide long non-coding RNA. Ensembl annotates it as alanine and glycine-rich protein-like. The record is from Ensembl. Lineage: Eukaryota; Metazoa; Chordata; Aves; Passeriformes; Paridae.
UCGGGAGUGCCCUGGCAGCUGUGACGUCACACCGCGACACCGUUCGCGUGUACUACGUCAUCAUUCCCAUUACGUCAUCGCGAGAGCGGGGCGGGAAAAACAGUCGCUCAGGCCCCGCCCCUUUUCCCGCCUCCGUGAGGGGCGGUUCCGCCACGCUCAAGAUGGCGCCGUCACCACGGUAACCGCGAGGGGGCGGGGCUUCCGCCACACCAAAAAUGGCGGCGGGGGCGGGACUGGGAGCCCGCUGGGAUGGACUGGGAGGAACUGGGAGGGACUGGGAGGGACUGGGAGCUCCAGCAUUCCCGCCAAAAAAACCUGGAGCCCCCAGACUCAUUUUGUGACUGGGGGGGGGCUCAAAUCCUCUCUCAAAUGGGACCCCAAACCACCGAAUCCUCCUCCAGGACACUUCGGGGGUUUUAUUGUCACACUUGGGGGUUUUAUUGUCACAUUUGGGGGUUUUAUUGUCACACUUGGGGGUUUUAUUGUCACACUUGGGGGUUUUAUUGUCACACCUGGGGGCUGUUUCACCCCAAAACUUCCUCAAUCUUCCUCAAAACCUCCCCAAACGCUGGCGCCUUCACCCCGAACCCCUUGGUGACAACCCCUUCCCUCCUCCUCUCCUCCCCCCACCCGCUCUGGAGCAUUUUGGAGUCCCGGAAGAGCAAAACUGAGGCGAAAAGCGCCAAAUUCGGGUGUUGGAAGAAAAAUCCGUUACGAGAAAUGCGGACAGAGCGCAUGCACAAGAAGGAGGCGGAACCGCGCAUGCGCCGAUACGCUCGGCGCGGCCGCGCACGCGCACUGCGCGCCGUAGCCGUUAAGCGCCACCAUCCGGGGCCUGGCGGGCGCCAUCUUUGUGGCGGGUGGAGGAGACGCGUCCAAAAUGGCGGCUCCCAAGCGCCAGUAGCCGGCGCGGCGGGCGGGCCUUUCUCAGCUUUGUGCGCGGCGGCGGCGGCCCGGAGCGAGCGGCGGCGGCGGCGGAAAGCGGCGCUCGGGGUCGGCGGGCGGCGGGUGGCUGCAGGCGCCGCCAUCUUGCGCUCGCGGCGAGGAGGAGGAAGAGGAGGAGGAGGAGGAGGAAGAUCCGGGCACCGGGCGGCGCCAUCUUGGACCCCCCCUUCCCACAGCAGAGCGCCGCCAUCUUGUGACCCCUCCCCCGCGCAGCCGGGCACCGGCCGCUCCGCCGCCUUGGAGCCUCUGCGGUAGCGGAGCCGCACCCGGUAAGGGCGGAACGAAGCGAGGAGCGGCGGGAGGGAGGGGAGGGAGCGCGGGGGCUCCGUGGGGGCCGACACCGAUCACGGGUUCCGCCGGAUGGGCGGCGCCAUCUUGGGAGGGGACGUGCGGGGUGUCAUGGCGGCGCCGUGCCCCGACAUCCGGGUCCUUCCCCCCCUUCCACCGCCCCCGGGGCGCCAUCCUGGGAGGGGCCGCCGCAUCCGGGUCCCGCGCGCCGCCAUCUUGAGCGUCCGGGGGGGUUUUUGGGGGGGCGAUGGCAGCGCCGGGGGUCCCCGAACCGUUUGAAUCGCUCGGAACCGCGGGGCCGUGAGGCCUCAGAGCGGCCCCGGUGUCCCGUUAACCCCGGGGGGGGCGGUGGGGAAAGCGGGAGAGCCCCGGGGCAGAGGAAGAGGAGGAGGAGGAGGGGGCGCGGUUCGCGGAGGAGGUGGUACCCGAGGAGAGGCGGGGCGCCCAAGAUGGCGGCGCCCAUGGCGGGCUGAGUGCUCCGUACAGCGCUGCGCCGCCGGGAAACGGGCUGUGCCGCCGGCAGCCAGGCCGCGGGGGAUUCGGUGUGUGCGGGGGGACGAGGCCGGGAGUGUCGGGGAGCGGUUACGGGGCCGCGGGGAGGCUCGGAGGGGGCGGCACCGGGAGAUGGCGGCGCUCGGGGUGGGGGGGGCGAGCAGUGGGGAAAAGCGCGUAAAAGGCGGGAUAAGGGGGGCGGCGGCUCCUUUAAGAGGCGGGUGAAGUGGGCGUGGUCACGCCCUUCCGUGACCACGCCCCUCCGCCGUUCGCGCCGGCCCCGCCGCCACCGGGCCCGGUCCGGAGGCCACCGAGAUGACGGUGAAACUCCUCCCGGUCCCCCCCACAAAAUGUCGCCGCCUCCUCCCUUUCCACCCUCCCCACAAUGUCGCCCCCCGUCCGCGGCCAAGAUGGCGCCGCCCGGGUCCGGAGGGGGCGUGUCCGCGCCGGCCCCGCCCACUCCCGUCGCUUCCCG